RNAcentral lists this ribosomal RNA (569 nucleotides) under Vibrio rotiferianus. Its description in RNAcentral is "bacterial SSU rRNA". It matches the Rfam family "Bacterial small subunit ribosomal RNA", at positions 828 to 1390 of the family's 1533-position model. The record is from RNAcentral. Lineage: Bacteria; Pseudomonadati; Pseudomonadota; Gammaproteobacteria; Vibrionales; Vibrionaceae.
CCCUGAGCCCGUGGCUUUUCGGAGCUAACGCGUUUAAGUAGACCGCCUGGAGAGUACGGGUCGCAAGAUUAAAAACUCAAAAUGAAUUGACGGGGGCCCGCACAAGCGGUGGAGCAUGUGGUUUAAUUUCGAUGCCAACGCGAAGAACCUUACCUACUCUUGACAUCCAGAGAACUUUCCAGAGAUGGAUUGGUGCCUUCGGGAACUCUGAGACAGGUGCUGCAUGGCUGUCGUCAGCUCGUGUUGUGAAAUGUUGGGUUAAGUCCCGCAACGAGCGCAACCCUUAUCCUUGUUUGCCAGCGAGUAAUGUCGGGAACUCCAGGGAGACUGCCGGUGAUAAACCGGAGGAAGGUGGGGACGACGUCAAGUCAUCAUGGCCCUUACGAGUAGGGCUACACACGUGCUACAAUGGCGCAUACAGAGGGCAGCCAACUUGCGAGAGUGAGCGAAUCCCAAAAAGUGCGUCGUAGUCCGGAUCGGAGUCUGCAACUCGACUCCGUGAAGUCGGAAUCGCUAGUAAUCGUGGAUCAGAAUGCCACGGUGAAUACGUUCCCGGGCCUUGUACACAC